Molecule: transfer RNA, 72 nt
Filed under: Hymenobacter sp.
Lineage: Bacteria; Pseudomonadati; Bacteroidota; Cytophagia; Cytophagales; Hymenobacteraceae
Description: tRNA-Glu
Rfam family: tRNA
About the family: Transfer RNA (tRNA) molecules are approximately 80 nucleotides in length. Their secondary structure includes four short double-helical elements and three loops (D, anti-codon, and T loops). Further hydrogen bonds mediate the characteristic L-shaped molecular structure. tRNAs have two regions of fundamental functional importance: the anti-codon, which is responsible for specific mRNA codon recognition, and the 3' end, to which the tRNAs corresponding amino acid is attached (by aminoacyl-tRNA synthetases). tRNAs cope with the degeneracy of the genetic code in two manners: having more than one tRNA (with a specific anti-codon) for a particular amino acid; and 'wobble' base-pairing, i.e. permitting non-standard base-pairing at the 3rd anti-codon position.
Source: RNAcentral
GCUCUCCUCGUCUAGGGGUUAGGACAUCACCUUUUCACGGUGAGAACAGGGGUUCGAUUCCCCUGGAGAGCA